This 830-nucleotide ribosomal RNA is filed under the name Mycobacterium sp. RNAcentral's name for it is "bacterial SSU rRNA". It matches the Rfam family "Bacterial small subunit ribosomal RNA", at positions 107 to 928 of the family's 1533-position model. Lineage: Bacteria; Bacillati; Actinomycetota; Actinomycetes; Mycobacteriales; Mycobacteriaceae. The record is from RNAcentral.
UGAGUAACACGUGGGCAAUCUGCCCUGCACUUCGGGAUAAGCCUGGGAAACUGGGUCUAAUACCGGAUAGGACCUUUAGACGCAUGUCUUUUGGUGGAAAGCUUUUGCGGUGUGGGAUGGGCCCGCGGCCUAUCAGCUUGUUGGUGGGGUGAUGGCCUACCAAGGCGACGACGGGUAGCCGGCCUGAGAGGGUGUCCGGCCACACUGGGACUGAGAUACGGCCCAGACUCCUACGGGAGGCAGCAGUGGGGAAUAUUGCACAAUGGGCGCAAGCCUGAUGCAGCGACGCCGCGUGGGGGAUGACGGCCUUCGGGUUGUAAACCUCUUUCACCAUCGACGAAGGUCCGGGUUUUCUCGGAUUGACGGUAGGUGGAGAAGAAGCACCGGCCAACUACGUGCCAGCAGCCGCGGUAAUACGUAGGGUGCGAGCGUUGUCCGGAAUUACUGGGCGUAAAGAGCUCGUAGGUGGUUUGUCGCGUUGUUCGUGAAAUCUCACGGCUUAACUGUGAGCGUGCGGGCGAUACGGGCAGACUAGAGUACUGCAGGGGAGACUGGAAUUCCUGGUGUAGCGGUGGAAUGCGCAGAUAUCAGGAGGAACACCGGUGGCGAAGGCGGGUCUCUGGGCAGUAACUGACGCUGAGGAGCGAAAGCGUGGGGAGCGAACAGGAUUAGAUACCCUGGUAGUCCACGCCGUAAACGGUGGGUACUAGGUGUGGGUUUCCUUCCUUGGGAUCCCGUGCCGUAGCUAACGCAUUAAAGUACCCCCGCCUGGGGGAGUACGGGCCGCAAGGGCUAAAACUCAAAGGAAUUUGACGGGGGGGCCCGCACAA